GACGAACGCUGGCGGCGUGCUUAACACAUGCAAGUCGAACGGAAAGGCCCUGCUUUUGUGGGGUGCUCGAGUGGCGAACGGGUGAGUAACACGUGAGUAACCUGCCCUUGACUUUGGGAUAACUUCAGGAAACUGGGGCUAAUACCGGAUAGGAGCUCCUGCUGCAUGGUGGGGGUUGGAAAGUUUCGGCGGUUGGGGAUGGACUCGCGGCUUAUCAGCUUGUUGGUGGGGUAGUGGCUUACCAAGGCUUUGACGGGUGGCCGGCCUGGGAGGGUGACCGGGCACAUUGGGACUGCGAUACGGCCCAGACUCCUACGGGAGGCAGCAGUGGAGAAUAUUGCACAGUGGGCGGAAGCCUGAUGCAGCAACGCCGCGUGCGGGAUGACGGCCUUCGGGUUGUAAACCGCUUUCGCCUGAGACGAAGCGUGAGUGACGGUAAUGGGUAAAGAAGCACCGGCUAACUACGUG
Molecule: ribosomal RNA, 468 nt
Filed under: uncultured bacterium
Lineage: Bacteria
Description: partial 16S ribosomal RNA
Rfam family: Bacterial small subunit ribosomal RNA
Source: RNAcentral